Molecule: long non-coding RNA, 1375 nt
Filed under: Bos indicus x Bos taurus (hybrid cattle)
Lineage: Eukaryota; Metazoa; Chordata; Mammalia; Artiodactyla; Bovidae
Description: lncRNA (ENSBIXG00000011785.1)
Source: RNAcentral
ACAACUUGUACUGGGUUUUGGCACAUGAAUUGGGCCGUUCCUUUGGACUUUCUCAUUCUACUAACAUCGGGGCUUUGAUGUACCCCAACUACAUCUACACUGGUGAAGUUUAUCUGUCUCAGGAUGACAUCAGUGGCAUCCAGGCCAUCUAUGGGCCAUCUAAUAAACCACAGCUGGUCCCAGUGCCACAAAUCCCACAGCCCUGUGAUAACUGGGCUGUCUCUGACUGUCUGGCUGGAAUCAGCUCUCUACACUCUGCUGAGCGUUGAACAGCCCAGAGUCCAGACAGGGAAGGCCUCCCUUUCUGUGUGUGAGUGUGAUAACAGGAUAACAUUUGAUGCUGUUACCAAAAUUCUUGGGGAAUUGCUCUUCUUCAAAGACAGUUCCAAGAUUUUUCUACUUCUUUUAUGGAAAAGAGAAGUACAAACCUGAUCCUAAAAUCAAGCAAGUUUCUGUCCUCCUGAAUACUAACAGCUGGUUCAACUGCAGAAGUAACUGAUUGAUGCCUCAGUUGAUUGAUUGAUUCUCACAAAGGAGAUGGAAGAACUAUUUCUAACUCACCCAAGGAAGGUGAGUUUUCUGAGAAACCAGAUAUUUCAGUAUUUUAUUUGAAUCUCUAGGUAAUAACAAGGCGGCUGCUGCUGCUGCUAAGUCGCUUCAGUUGUGUCCGACUCUGUGCGACCCCAUAGAUGGCAGCCCACCAGGCUUCCCCGUCCCUGGGACUCUCCAGGCAAGAACACUGGAGUGGGUUUCCAUUUCCUUCUCCAAUGCAUGAAAGUGAAAAGUAAAGUGAAGUCGCUCAGUCAUGUCCGACCCUCAGCGACCCCAUGGACUGCAGCCUUCCAGGCUCCUCCAUCCAUGGGAUCCUCCAGGCAAGAGCACAGACACAUAAACACAACCUUGUUUAACCUCAGUCUGGACAUAUUCCAUGUUGACUAGAUCACACUGCUUUGUGAACUUAUACUACUUAAUUUUAAUUGAGUGCUGAGCACGUCAAGGUCAUAGUUUAUCUUUAGGUUUUCACAGAGCAAAACUCUUUACCAAUAUUCUAUGAUAGUUCAGUAAUUACAUUUCUCAUAGUAACUACAUUCUCAAAUAUUAUGUCUCUGCACCUGCGUGCCCAGUCACUUCAGUCAUGUCUAACUCUUUUCAACCCCAUGGACUACAGACUGCCAGGCUCCUCUUCCACGGAAUUCUCCAGGCAAGAAUACUGGAGUGGGUUGCCAUGCCCUCCUCCAAGGGAUCUUUCUAACACAGGGACUGAACCCGCAUCUCCUGCGUCUCCUGCAUUACAGGAAGAUUCUUUACUGCUAAGCGACCGGGAAGCCCAAGAACCAAGUAGGUGCUCAAUAAAACUUUUUAAUAAAUGUAUGCA